UGUCUCUUACAGGCGAUCGGUGAAAUUGAUCUCCCUGUGCAAAAGCAGGGAUAACCACAUAAGACGAGAAGACCCUGUGGAACUUCAAAAACAGCAACCACCCCAAUUCACAUUCACCCCCACCCCGGGCUCACUGACCCCUAAAGCACUGGUUUGCAUUUUUUCGGUUGGGGCGACCUUGGAGCAAAACAAAACCUCCAAAAACUGGACCAUCCCUCCAGACUGAGAGCAACUUCUCAACGUGCAAAUAGCAACCAGACCCAAUACAAUUGAUCAAUGGACCAAGCUACCCCAGGGAUAACAGCGCAAUCUCCUCCGAGAGUCCAUAUCGACGGGGAGGUUUACGACCUCGAUGUUGGAUCAGGACAUCCUAGCGGUGCAGCAGCUGCUAAGGGUUCGUUUGUUCAACGAUUAACAGUCCUACGUGAUCUGAGUUCAGACCGGAGCAAUCCAGGUCGGUUUCUAUCUAUGAAGAACUCUUCCUCGUACGAAAGGAUCGGAAAAGUGAGGCCAAUACCACAAGCAAGCCUUCGCCUUAAGUAAUGAAGCCAACUCAAUUACAAAAGGCUAUCACACCACACCACGUCCAAGAAAAGG
RNAcentral lists this ribosomal RNA (597 nucleotides) under Calendulauda sabota (Sabota lark). Its description in RNAcentral is "partial 16S ribosomal RNA". It matches the Rfam family "Bacterial large subunit ribosomal RNA", at positions 2017 to 2838 of the family's 2925-position model. The record is from RNAcentral. Lineage: Eukaryota; Metazoa; Chordata; Aves; Passeriformes; Alaudidae.